Pectinophora gossypiella (pink bollworm) is the source of this 867-nucleotide long non-coding RNA. RefSeq lists it as uncharacterized. Lineage: Eukaryota; Metazoa; Arthropoda; Insecta; Lepidoptera; Gelechiidae. The record is from RefSeq and is a predicted model, not a curated record. The transcript is spliced from 2 exons.
UUCCUUAAAAAACAAUAUAGAUGGCGAUACAUCUACAAGAAAGUCCCUCAUUACUAGCAACAAUAAGUGACUUCCCAGGCUACAGUUACCAAAAACAAUAUAGAUGGCUUUGUACAGCUUUAACAUGAUUACCUAUUUUCUCAUUACUUGAGUGUAGCCUAAAAAGUCCAUCAUUUGAAACUCCAAGAACCAAAUAUUUGAACUAAUGUUCCACAGAACAUACCUAGUAUUGUGUUUUAGCAGCACCAAGGGCAAACAUGAAAUGCCAAGUAAAUCAAGUGACAUUAUUGUAAUAUUACAAUAGACGCCCAAUAACAGAAAUGAUAUGCAGUGCAUUAUUUAUUAUAAAGUAGUUAGAUAAUUAAUGUGUAACAUCCCACUAAUUUGGCAUGAAUUUAGCCCACAGGUAUAGGUUUCCAAAAGUAAUGAUAAUAAAUCAAAAAUAAUAAUUGUAAUUUAUGUGACAAAUUGUAUUUAAAUUUAUUAACCUCUCAUCUGCCGAGAUACCAGACACAAUAGAUUUUACAUUGUGUCUGGUCGAGAUCCGCGUUCCGGCAGAUGAGAGGUUAAUCAUAACAUUGUUCUUCUUUUAUCAAUACUAUGCAUUUCUCUACUAACCCAGUUUUGGUAAUUUUACUGCUUUAAUAUAACAAGCAUACAUCAUUCUCUAGAUAAACUCAUUUCUCUAGGUAACAAAGUUAAAACAUUUUUAUUGGCUGAAUAGUAUAAUAAAUAUAGAGGAACAAUGUUGAUCAUAAUCACUUGAUAAUAAUGCUGGGAGCAGCAAAUAAAAAUUUAGAACAAUGUCUGUGUCCUGAUAUAUUUUUUUUAAACAAAUCCAACAGAUUACUUGAUUGCAGGAUUGGA